UAUAGGAAGAAUCAUCUCAAAAUGUAUUUUAAGACGGUUCCGACGACCUGCCGCCGAGCUGAAGCGAGGGGGCAUUACAUAUU
This 83-nucleotide small RNA is filed under the name Clostridium sp. CAG:167. Its description in RNAcentral is "GA-cis RNA". It matches the Rfam family "GA-cis RNA". The record is from Rfam by way of RNAcentral. Lineage: Bacteria; Bacillati; Bacillota; Clostridia; Eubacteriales; Clostridiaceae.